GAUGAACGCUGGCGGCGUGCCUAAUACAUGCAAGUCGAGCGAACAGACGAGAGUGCUUGCACUCUCUGACGUUAGCGGCGGACGGGUGAGUAACACGUGGGUAGCCUACCUAUAAGACUGGGAUAACUUCGGGAAACCGGAGCUAAUACCGGAUAAUAUUUAGCUUCGCAUGAAGCAAUAGUGAAAGACGGUUCUGCUGUCACUUAUAGAUGGACCCGCGGUGUAUUAGCUAGUUGGUGAGGUAACGGCUCACCAAGGCAACGUUACAUAGCCGACCUGAGAGGGGGAUGGGCCAAGCGGGGAAGGGGACCCGCCCAAGGCUCCUAGGGGGGGCAGCGGUAGGGGAUUUUCCGCAAUGGAGGAAAGUUUGACGGACAAACGCCGCGUGGGUGAAGAAGUUUUUGGGAUUGAAAAACUCUUUUGUAGGGGAAAAAAAAUUACGGUAGUAACUGAACGUACCUUGGCGGACCCUUACCAAAAACCCCCGGCUAACUACG
This 497-nucleotide ribosomal RNA is filed under the name uncultured bacterium. RNAcentral describes it as "partial 16S ribosomal RNA". It matches the Rfam family "Bacterial small subunit ribosomal RNA", at positions 28 to 505 of the family's 1533-position model. The record is from RNAcentral.